This 113-nucleotide small nuclear RNA is filed under the name Callithrix jacchus (white-tufted-ear marmoset). The record is from RNAcentral. Lineage: Eukaryota; Metazoa; Chordata; Mammalia; Primates; Cebidae.
AAAUUGGAACGAUACAGAGAAGAUUAGCACGCCCCUGCACAAGGAUGGCACGCAAAUUCGUGAAGCGUUCCAUAAAAAAAUUUUUGUAUUUAAAAAAAAAAAAAAUUUUUUUU